RNAcentral lists this transfer RNA (73 nucleotides) under Desulfovibrio sp. An276. It matches the Rfam family "tRNA". From Rfam's summary of the family: Transfer RNA (tRNA) molecules are approximately 80 nucleotides in length. Their secondary structure includes four short double-helical elements and three loops (D, anti-codon, and T loops). Lineage: Bacteria; Pseudomonadati; Thermodesulfobacteriota; Desulfovibrionia; Desulfovibrionales; Desulfovibrionaceae. The record is from Rfam by way of RNAcentral.
GGGCGGUUAGCUCAGUUGGUAGAGCGCUGCCCUUACAAGGCAGAUGCCACAAGUUCAAGUCUUGUACCGCCCA